RNAcentral lists this ribosomal RNA (253 nucleotides) under uncultured bacterium. RNAcentral's name for it is "partial 16S ribosomal RNA". It matches the Rfam family "Bacterial small subunit ribosomal RNA", at positions 524 to 776 of the family's 1533-position model. The record is from RNAcentral.
UACGAAGGGGGCUAGCGUUGUUCGGAAUCACUGGGCGUAAAGGGCGCGUAGGCGGCUUAGUAAGUCAGGGGUGAAAUCCCACAGCUUAACUGUGGAACUGCCUUUGAAACUGCUAAGCUAGAGUGUCGGAGGGGAUGGCGGAAUUCCUAAUGUAGAGGUGAAAUUCGUAGAUAUUAGGAGGAACACCGGUGGCGAAGGCGGCCAUCUGGACGACAACUGACGCUGAGGCGCGAAAGCGUGGGGAUCAAACAGG